This is a non-coding RNA of Phrynosoma platyrhinos (Desert horned lizard), 71 nucleotides long. The record is from the annotation of a GenBank genome assembly. NCBI's taxonomy places the organism in Eukaryota, Metazoa, Chordata, Lepidosauria, Squamata, Phrynosomatidae.
GCUAGCAUGGCUCAGUGGUUUUAGUGCUGGACUUUCGCUUUGGAGACAAGGGUUCGAUUCCCCAAUCAGCC